RNAcentral lists this small nucleolar RNA (68 nucleotides) under Sphenodon punctatus (tuatara). Its description in RNAcentral is "Small nucleolar RNA SNORD110 (ENSSPUG00000001548.1)". The record is from RNAcentral. Lineage: Eukaryota; Metazoa; Chordata; Lepidosauria; Sphenodontia; Sphenodontidae.
GCGCAGUGAUGAACAUCUGAAAUCUGUCAAUCCCCUGAAGCCAGUGAUGUCAAGCUGUUUCUGAGCGC